This 642-nucleotide ribosomal RNA is filed under the name uncultured Glomeromycotina. Its description in RNAcentral is "SSU rRNA". It matches the Rfam family "Eukaryotic small subunit ribosomal RNA", at positions 373 to 1019 of the family's 1831-position model. The record is from RNAcentral. Lineage: Eukaryota; Fungi; Glomeromycota.
GGGCACGACACCGGAGAGGGAGCCUGAGAAACGGCUACCACAUCCAAGGAUGGCAGCAGGCGCGCAAAUUACCCAAUCCCGACACGGGGAGGUAGUGACAAUAAAUAACAAUACGGGGUUCUUUCGGAUCUCGUAAUUGGAAUGAGUACAAUUUAAAUCUCUUAACGAGGAACAAUUGGAGGGCAAGUCUGGUGCCAGCAGCCGCGGUAAUUCCAGCUCCAAUAGCGUAUAUUAAAGUUGUUGCAGUUAAAAAGCUCGUAGUUGAAUUUCGGGGUUAGUAGGUUGGUCAUGCCUCUGGUAUGUACUGGUCUCACUGAUUCCUCCUUCCUGAUGAACCGUAAUGCCAUUAAUUUGGUGUUGCGGGGAAUUUGGACUGUUACUUUGAAAAAAUUAGAGUGUUUAAAGCAAGCUAACGCUUGAAUACAUUAGCAUGGAAUAAUGAAAUAGGACGUUCGAUCCUAUUUUGUUGGUUUCUAGGAUUGACGUAAUGAUUAAUAGGGAUAGUUGGGGGCAUUAGUAUUCAAUUGUCAGAGGUGAAAUUCUUGGAUUUAUUGAAGACUAACUACUGCGAAAGCAUUUGCCAAGGAUGUUUUCAUUAAUCAAGAACGAAAGUUAGGGGAUCGAAGACGAUCAGAUACCGUC